Molecule: long non-coding RNA, 280 nt
Filed under: Amborella trichopoda
Lineage: Eukaryota; Viridiplantae; Streptophyta; Magnoliopsida; Amborellales; Amborellaceae
Description: long non-coding RNA (ATRI_LNC003031)
Source: RNAcentral
GGACAAACCAGCAAAAAUUAACUAACAUUCAGAAACCGAAGGAGUGGUGUGAUUGAGGGUAUGGCUUUUGACAUAACGGAACAGUAGAACAAGACUUAUGCAACCGACCUCAAAUAAUUGAGAUAAGGCGGAUGAUGAUAAUGAUUUAGAAGCGGAGAGAGAAACAUGAAGAACAACUUCAGCCAAUGAGAGAAACAUGUCCAACUCCAGGACUGUGUCCUGGCGAUGUAGACCUCGAAUCCAUUGUGUGUUUCACACUAUUACUCUUAUCAUGUCCCGC